Molecule: long non-coding RNA, 1446 nt
Organism: Harpia harpyja (harpy eagle)
Lineage: Eukaryota; Metazoa; Chordata; Aves; Accipitriformes; Accipitridae
Exons: 2
Source: RefSeq, a predicted model, not a curated record
GCCAUGUUGUGGCGGGCCGCGUUUCCCUCCUCACCUCAGGCCGUUCCCUGCGCACCGCAGGCCCUUCCCUCCUCACCUCAGGCCUUUCCCUCCUCGCAGGCCCCGAGGGGCCGGUUUCACCGCCCUCCAGGCCGACAACAACCUCAUUUAGCCUUGAAAGUCGGACGGCCGGAGCAGUAGCUGCCCUCCCGGCCGGGCGUGGAGGCACCGCUCCUGUGCAGUCGGGUCGAUCUCCACGAGGUGGCAGUGGCUCGUCACGGGAGGCUUCGGGCAAACUCCCCUCGUGUUCACCUGCCGGCCUUGCGGGCGGUGAAAGCGUGGCGGCAUCCAUCCGUGUUUAAGAAUAAAUUUGCGGACCAGUACUUUUUCGUUACUCCACACGCAUAGAUAGAAAAGCUCGGAGGUUAUGAGACGCGUAAGCGAUGUCUUUGCCAAUGCACGAGUGCUCCACUCGGGCUCGUUUGGCUCCCAGGUGAAGAAGUUGCCAGAGCUUUUCUUGGCUGUAGCGAGCAUCAGCCUGUUCACACUCACGAACGGCCAUCCUGCUGUAGCUAUAAUUUGUGACGCAACGUUUGACAGGCAAAUAUGUUGAACCAGUGUUUGUACUGUUUACUGAUUUGUCACAUCUACACUAAUGUCUUCUACUACUCUGUCUCUGAAGUCAUCAAGUGCCGCAAUGUGUAUUUUAUCUUCCUGCAUACAGCAUAUUCCCUUCAUCUUUAAUGUAUUGGGUGCUGAAUGUGGAAAACAUACAUUCAGGAACUAACCUUUCUGUAACAGAACUAUUACAUUUUUUUGUGCACCUUACCUCCCAAAGGUCAGUCUAGUGCCUUAGUGUUGAAAGCAAAACCAUCGUCACCUGCUUUCAUCUGAGUGUUCAACGCUUUUGACUCAACAGCCUGUCUUCUCCAGAUCCAGACUGUCCUCACACACAGUGGUUGUGAUACCUUUGUGGAUGCGUAGGAAUGAAUAAGAAUUGGAAUUGUAAUUGUUUUUAACUGGCAUGUAUCAAAAGUGCACUCAGAUACUUGCUUCCAUGAUCAUUAGAAAUGAGUGUGAUUUUUCUUUCGGGGUGUAUUGGAUGGGCAACAACGACAACAUCAAAAUUAUGCUAAUAGUCUUUCUGGUAGCAAGACUAACUGUGGGCCAGCUGAAAGAGUAACUAAGUUAUAAGAUUUCUGUAAGGAAGUCUGUGUUGAGGCUAUGUAGGAAAAGUGUGAACACAACAGGAAAUGGUGUGUAUAUAGCAAAAUUUUUCAUGCCACUUGGAAUAGCUGAUUUCAAGUGAUAACAUGUAUAAUGUGGCAGAACGCAGUGAGCUUAGAGUGAGUGUCUGGGAUAAAGUCAUACUGUGGGAGUAAUUUUUGCACUUCUCUGACAAUUGCCAAGGAUAAAUCUGUGUAUCUGUGACUGGCAAUAUAACAGCUUUGGUAUGUUAUCUGUAAA